AUACCCAUCCCAUCUCUUCAUCCAAGCAGAGAGAUGGGGUCUCCCUAUGUUGCCCAGGCUGGUCUCGAACUCCUGGACUCAAAAGAUUCUUCUGCCUUGGCCUCCCAAAGUGCUGGGAUUACAAGCAUGAGCCACCACACCUGGCCCAGGAUUGAAAGCUGUGGAUCACACCGCUGUAGUACCCCAGCCUCUCUACUGCUCCCAGAGCACAUCCACACACUUUGAACCCUGACCUUGAAGCUCUGAUUCCUGAGUCCUAGUUGAAAGGGCCUCGCAACAACCCAUGAGAUCGGUGAUGACUGCCCCCAUUUGCCAGCUUUGCAGGGAGAGGUCAAGACCAAGACGAUCUUCAGGCCCAAGGGAGGCAGGGAGGAGGCUUGCAAAGCCCACCCCUGGGAAGAGGCCUCGCAACAACCCACGAGAUCUGUGAUGACUGCCCCCAUUUGCCAGAUGAGAAGCUGAGGCUCGGAGAUAUUGAGGAAUCUGUCGAGCGUGUUGCUCCACAGAGCUGACAGCUUCCCACAGUGUGUGAGAUGUGCCACAGCCAGGGGAGAUCUCAGGAAAAAGA
RNAcentral lists this long non-coding RNA (568 nucleotides) under Homo sapiens (human). RNAcentral's name for it is "novel transcript". Lineage: Eukaryota; Metazoa; Chordata; Mammalia; Primates; Hominidae. The record is from RNAcentral.